GUUCGGUGAGUGCACCAUUCACUCUUACUUUGGCAAUGAUAUAGCGCUUCUAUCCACUUCAUUAUGUUCUCCCCAAAGCCUAUCUCCCAUAGUGUAGCCAUAAGGAACGACCGGUUUACCCGGUUGAACGCUUUCUCAGCAUCCGUGGAGAGCAAUAGCAGGUUGUCUUUCGACCGCUUCGCCAGGUGUUGAAUGGAUUGGACCCUGAGAGUGCUAUCUCUGGCCUCACGUCCGG
Molecule: non-coding RNA, 235 nt
Organism: Pelobates cultripes (western spadefoot toad)
Lineage: Eukaryota; Metazoa; Chordata; Amphibia; Anura; Pelobatidae
Source: the annotation of a GenBank genome assembly